This 1043-nucleotide long non-coding RNA is filed under the name Fukomys damarensis (Damara mole-rat). RNAcentral describes it as "lncRNA (ENSFDAG00000033281.1)". Lineage: Eukaryota; Metazoa; Chordata; Mammalia; Rodentia; Bathyergidae. The record is from RNAcentral.
CCCACUCUGAAGAUAACAUCAGUCUGUACCGCGCAGGGGAGCGGGGAGUCAGGUUUCCCCAGGGCCUGGUAGGCCAGCGGUCCUCCUGCGGCUCCCAAACUGGACUUGGUCCCUACCUGGGAGUGUGCGGUGGACUCACAGGCACACAGCGGCCAGGUUCGGAGUGCUUCUGUUUACAGUUCCAAUGUGAACGAGGCAGGGGCCUUUCUGACAAGGUUUCAGCCCUCUGGGCCCUCCGAGGUGUCUGAAGGGCCACCGUCUUAGGCCUCUGCUUCUUUCCCUUGACAACAAGAUGCAGACAUCAGCCCGCUCCCUUCUCCUCCUAACCGCCAUCGAUUUUUCUUUCCCUCCCUCUGUUCUAUUUAUGGCUCCUCCGGCCCCUCACAAUGGCAUUAUUCCUUCGGAGGACGCGGGCUGCAGGAGGAGGGGCCUUUCACAGCUGUGUCGCUGUGUCCGGAGGGAGGGAGGCUCCAGCUUGGUCUUCUCUUCCGUCUGUCGCCUUGUCGCUCACCGCCCAGACACCCCAUCUUCUGCAGCCUUCUGUUUCUCCCAGGUUCCUUGCUGUUCUGGGGAGGGAGCUGCUUUACUGUCAGGUGUCAGAAGGCUUUGCCUGGGCUGUGGAGACUCUGGCUGCAAGAUGGCCCGAAGUCUGCACGCAUCCUUGUGCCGCCCCCAGAUCUUCUGAAUUCGUCCAUGCACAGCUCUUCCAGUGGGGGACAUAUUCCAAACCAGCCCCUUGAUGGGAUUUUCUAAUUUCUCCCAAACUAAACAGUAAGUAAAUCAGCACAGAAAUCACGGGCGCUGUCUUGAACCCUUUGGCAGCAAGUGCUCUUCGGAGAGGAAUAAAGAAUUCCUCCCUGAGCGUGGGCCCAGCCCAAAGUGGAGCAGAGCAAUUUUCUACUCUUUUUUUCUGUCCUGAGUAUUGAAUCCAGGGCCUCUGCACUGUGCUACAUCUUCCACCCCAGCCUUUUUUUUUUUUUUUUUUCAUUUUGAGACAGGGUCUCGCUGGGUCACUUAAUUGCCCAGUCUGGGCUCAAACUUUC